Small nuclear RNA from Callithrix jacchus (white-tufted-ear marmoset), 105 nucleotides. Lineage: Eukaryota; Metazoa; Chordata; Mammalia; Primates; Cebidae. The record is from Ensembl.
GUGCUCACUUUGGCAGCACAUAUACUAAAAUUGGCACAAUACAGAAAAGAUUAGCAUGGCCUCUGUACAAGGAUGAUAGCAAAUUUGUGACCGUUGCAUGUUAAA